This 468-nucleotide ribosomal RNA is filed under the name uncultured bacterium. RNAcentral describes it as "partial 16S ribosomal RNA". It matches the Rfam family "Bacterial small subunit ribosomal RNA", at positions 28 to 507 of the family's 1533-position model. The record is from RNAcentral.
GACGAACGCUGGCGGCGUGCUUAACACAUGCAAGUCGAACGGAAAGGCCCUGCUUUUGUGGGGUGCUCGAGUGGCGAACGGGUGAGUAACACGUGAGUAACCUGCCCUUGACUUUGGGAUAACUUCAGGAAACUGGGGCUAAUACCGGAUAGGAGCUCCUGCUGCAUGGUGGGGGUUGGAAAGUUUCGGCGGUUGGGGAUGGACUCGGGGCUUAUCAGCUUGUUGGGGGGGUAGUGGCCUACCAAGGCUUUGACGGGUAGCCGGCCUGAGAGGGUGACCGGCGACAUUGGGACUGAGAUACGGCGCAGACUCCAACGGGAGGCAGCAGUGGGGAAUAUUGCACAAUGGGCGGAAGCCUGAUGCAGCAACGCCGCGUGCGGGAUGACGGCCUUCGGGUUGUAAACCGCUUUCGCCUGUGACGAAGCGUGAGUGACGGUAAUGGGUAAAGAAGCACCGGCUAACUACGUG